AGAAAAACGAGUCGACGUCGAGGACCGCCGAGAAAUCAAUAUCGCCGAAAUCAUUCGUCCGAGACGUCCCUCUUACGUCGUCGGGCCGACGGAACACUUUGAUAACGCAAUUUUCCUGCGAGCCUCUCCCGGGAGGGGGGCCAAGAAUCGUCGAAAAAGAAGCAUCCCCUACGCGCACGGGGAGAGUCUUCACUGGAGAGUAGAAAACGGACAGAGAUGUAAGUCGACGAGCAGUUGGAGACGCGUGGAUGUUCAGGCGAGGGUUGGAAGCGAGGCAGCUGCGAGGUCUCUCGCGGGGGUGGGGUUGGGAAGGAAGAGAAACCGCGACGUGGUGCCAGCCGUCGUGGGAGAGAAAAAGACGUCCUGGAUCGUGGAGAAAGAACUCUUAAAAAAUGCCAGCAUUAUUACAAACAUUUUCUUAGCAUUUGUUUAGAACGCACAAAAUUUUCAUGGUCUUAAAACGAUAGAACUAAUUAAAACUCCUUCUUUUAACCCUCUAUGGACUCGUGUAACCUUCAGAUUCCAUGCUAACUGAUCGAUAUUUUAUGAAAUAAUUUUAGUUUUUUCGCAAGGUGACGCGUUGACAUCAAUCUGAAAUGUCAAAAUAAAUGUCUUACAAAUUGUCUCCAGAAACAAUAAGUUGGUCCAUAGAGGGUUAAGGGUAAUCUACAGAGUUAUGGAAGAAAAUAUGGCCCUUUAUAUAUGUCGAUAUUUCUCCACUUCUGUGUUAAAUUUUUUUUAGAAAAUUUAAUGGUAACAGGUUUUGUGAUUCUUAGACAAAUCGUUGCUGAGAUGUGCAACAAACACAGGCCAACAUAGAUACAUAUGCACAUACACGCACAUAGGAUUUCGUAUUCCAUUCUUCUUCCAUUCCAUAAAUGUAAUUACAACAAAUAUGAGAGUACUAUGUCAAACAGAAUUCUCUGAAACAUCAAUCCUGGUAUUUGCAUUAAAUCAAGCCAUACAUGCACGUACUAAUACACAAACAUACGUUCAUAAUCGAUUUUUUCGUUAUCACAAAUUCAAUAGCUUGAAUGGAGGAUUAUACAUGCACGUAUAUAUAAAUUACCAUAUCGAGAUACCUGAUAUUUUGAUAAACUACUAAUAAUAAAGUAUAAAAUUGAACAAAGGGGAACAGACACACAUCCAGACGCGCACGCUAUAUAAAAUUUCAUAGUGAUCUACCAAACAACUCCCGCGAAUACGCUAAAUCAGGCCAAACGUACACAUAUUAAAACAUAUAUACAUAAUCAUAAAUUCAAUCAUAAAUUCAAUUUAGCAAUUUUCACGAAUCUCCUACAAGCAACACCAGACAUACACAAUCAAACAAAUUCCACCAUACGCCACACAUGCACCCAUUAAAGCACACAGUAUCCUAUAACCAAUACCUCUUUAAUCACAAUUUCAAUUUACCAAAAUUCACGCUACUCCCACAAACAUCUCCUGACGUACGGAAUUAAACAAUCGCGAACAUAUUUCCACCUCUCGCGAACAGAAUUUGGUUACCAAUUUUCCUAGCAAUUUUUCGACACGCGAGAGCACCCCGAGAACCCUCCAAAAUGCAACAAAAUGGGACCGCGGGGAGUAACGAAUUUCGACAGCAAUACUUCGCUAGUGUCGAGUAACAAUCGGUAAAGAUGAAAAAAAAAAAACAAAAAUAGUCGGAGAAAAUACAGACAGGGAAGAGGAUAGGUAGAGGGUUUUGCGAACAGGCUGACUAGAGCGACGAGGAGAGGGAGAGGGUGUGGGCAGAGAGGACAGGCGGCUUGGUUAGGGGUAGGUGGUAUCGCUGGCGGAGGGUGGAGAAGGACCUGCGCGCGAAUUUCCCGCGUUCGCUCAACCUCAUAUUGAUCCCACCCCAGUAACUCCCCGCAUCCUACUAUAACGGGCUGGCUAGGGGUCGUGGAGACGUGCCGUGGGGCCAGGGGGGGUGGACCAGGGGAGUGUGGGUGGUGGUUCGUCGGCGUAUACACAGUACAGGGGAGAAUACGGCGAAGGGAAUCAGAGAAUCGUGGACUUCGGGGUGGUCCAGCGCGUAGUCGUGGUGCUCGAGCGUCGAAAUCCGCGUCGUCCUGCGAAGGUGUCCUGAUCGCGUCGGUUGUAUCAUCGCGAAUCGUGCUACCGGGUCCCAGGAUAUCGGUGACACGCGUGUUUCUGGUAUCUCUGUGAGAUCGGUCGGGCCAGUGAUCGACGGGAGAAAAGGUUACCGUGAUUCGAAGGAGACUGGCCGAGUGAAAGGAGAGGAAGACGUCCGGAGAGAAGAGUUGCCAGCAGAGCCGAUCACCGGUGACUCGUUUCGUUCUCUCGAAGAUCAAAAGUGAAAUAGUAAUUGCCACGUCGACUAACGAUCCUCCCGCGGAAUAAUGCGAAUCCCCUGAUCGAGAGACAUCCCAAACGCGAGAACUAACGAGCAUAUCGGGGGCGUGGAAGCGCGUAAAAAUAGAGAUCGAACAUUUUUCCGCGAUGAUUCGAUGCGCGAGUUGAAGAGAAUCCAUGGGUCAAGCCAUUCUCCUAUGAUUCCAUUCCGCGUACGAAAAUAUCCACACGAAGAGAGCGACGCGAUAAAGACGUGAAAAACGAGCCGACGAUCCCCCCAAAUGGAAGAACUGGUGUUUUCGCUCAACGUCAUCCGAUAUCCCAGCCAUCAGUCAGCGAAGUCCCUGCAGUGAAGGUUUCCAUGUCUCUCCGAGCAAGCGUCCCAAUACCCUUAGCUUCCAAGUUGUUUCAAAUGGUCCAAACGCACUGGUAGUUAGUGGACAACUCCCAAAACUGAUACGCGAAGAUCGCGAGGCUGGAUCGUUCAGA
This is a long non-coding RNA of Hylaeus volcanicus, 2805 nucleotides long. RefSeq lists it as uncharacterized. The transcript has 3 exons. The record is from RefSeq and is a predicted model, not a curated record. NCBI's taxonomy places the organism in Eukaryota, Metazoa, Arthropoda, Insecta, Hymenoptera, Colletidae.